UUCCAGCAGUUAGCUCCGGCCUACGCAUGCUCUAGUAGGGGACCGAUGAACAUAAGUGAAUGAUCCAGUGAAAUAAAUAAAAGAAAGCAAAAAGGCAACUCCGGUAUAGGUGACCCUCACAAAGUCAUUUAAACCGAAAAUGUUGUAAAAAUCUGCUAAAAAAGAAAAAGAAAAAGAAAAACUCGCCCGCUAUUAGUUAAUUC
This 203-nucleotide long non-coding RNA is filed under the name Lathyrus oleraceus (garden pea). RNAcentral's name for it is "Pisum sativum (pea) long non-coding RNA (PSAT_LNC005766)". Lineage: Eukaryota; Viridiplantae; Streptophyta; Magnoliopsida; Fabales; Fabaceae. The record is from RNAcentral.